CUUCAGCGAGCCCAGCCACAGCGGCUGUCCUGCGGGCCGCUCCUGGCCGUACGUGGCGAGCAGCGCCUGCGCCUC
Non-coding RNA from Streptomyces avermitilis MA-4680 = NBRC 14893, 75 nucleotides. It matches the Rfam family "ASpks TB sRNA". The record is from Rfam. NCBI's taxonomy places the organism in Bacteria, Bacillati, Actinomycetota, Actinomycetes, Kitasatosporales, Streptomycetaceae.